AGAAGAGGGCAUACAGAGUUUGGUGACUGACCCGAGGUCACAUACCCAACCCCGAACAGAAGAACCCAGUUCCUCAUCUCCUGUCCCGUCCCCUAACAUUUCCAUUUUCUAUAUCCUGCAAGUGAUUCUAGCAUGAAAUUUUAAAUGCGAAAACAGAAACAAUCAAUGUGCCAUUAUUGUAUCCAUUUCCAGUCCCGCAGUGGCCAACUUUCGUCCAGGAGCCAUCUGUGAGAAAAUAUAAUGGUCCCUCUGCUCUACUCCUCCACCUCAGAAGCUCUUCCUACCUGUCAGUAGACUAGAAAUAGAGCCAUAGUCUGCUGAAUUGGAGCAGCCUUUAGAAGGUGAGCUGCCUUGGCCUACAGCGAAAAUCACACCCACACAGCCUUCCUGAAGUCUUCUGUUGCAGCCUCUGAUGUCUAUGGGCCAGUAUGUAUUUGGACAAAAGAAAAUGCCCAAGAGAAACAAGACGUCAAAAGAUAACCUGAGAGAGAAAACAAGAGGAAACACUAAGUGUUAAUCUAGAGACAAUGCUUGUACGCUGCCCCACAUUACUGUAACUCAG
Molecule: long non-coding RNA, 562 nt
Filed under: Vulpes vulpes (red fox)
Lineage: Eukaryota; Metazoa; Chordata; Mammalia; Carnivora; Canidae
Description: lncRNA (ENSVVUG00000003911.1)
Source: RNAcentral